RNAcentral lists this ribosomal RNA (274 nucleotides) under uncultured bacterium. Its description in RNAcentral is "partial 16S ribosomal RNA". It matches the Rfam family "Bacterial small subunit ribosomal RNA", at positions 523 to 796 of the family's 1533-position model. The record is from RNAcentral.
AUACGGAGGGUGCAAGCGUUGUUCGGAAUUAUUGGGCGUAAAGAGCAUGUAGGCGGUUCGUUAAGUCUGAUGUGAAAGCCCGGGGCUCAACCCCGGAAGUGCAUUGGAUACUGGCGAACUUGAGUACGGGAGAGGAAAGUGGAAUUUCGAGUGUAGGGGUGAAAUCCGUAGAUAUUCGAAGGAACACCAGUGGCGAAGGCGGCUUUCUGGACCGAUACUGACGCUGAGAUGCGAAAGCGUGGGGAGCAAACAGGAUUAGAUACCCCGGUAGUCC